RNAcentral lists this ribosomal RNA (681 nucleotides) under Triticum aestivum (bread wheat). RNAcentral describes it as "partial small subunit ribosomal RNA". Lineage: Eukaryota; Viridiplantae; Streptophyta; Magnoliopsida; Poales; Poaceae. The record is from RNAcentral.
AUGGAGGUUGCCGCGGCGGGAGAGCCGGCGCCCGCGGGCGAGUGGCUGGAGGAGCGCGGCGUGGACGCCGUGUACCUCCCCAGGCUGAUCGCCGGCGUCAUCUCCGGCGCGCUCACCGGCCUCUUCGCUCUCGCUGGAGCAUUGACCGGGGCCGUCACCGGCGCGCUGGCGGGCAGAGCCUCCGACAGCGGCGUUCUCCGGGGAGCUGGACUGGGAGCGAUUGCCGGGGCCGUCCUCUCCAUCGAGGUUCUCGAGGCGUCUCGCGCGUACUGGUGCUCGGACCGGCUCGGCACAUGCUCCAUGGCAGAUUUCAUAGAGCAGCUCCUUCAUGCCCGGUUUGUGCAACAGCAGCUUGGAUCCUCGGCACACAUGGCGUACCGUUGGCAGCUCAGCAUACCGGAUUUUGGGCACGAUGAUGUGUACGACAUCUUCGGGGACAUUUCGUCGAGAGGGCUUUCGCGGGAGGCACUGGAGAAAUUACCGCACUAUGUGGUGGCUGAUCAGGCUCAGGCUCAGGGCAAAUCGGGUGAAAACCUGUCUUGCGCCAUCUGUCUACAGGAUAUGGUAGCCGGUGAGAUGGCGAGAAGGUUGCCCACUUGCUCCCAUGCUUUUCAUCAGCUCUGCGUGGACAAAUGGCUCAUUAGCCACGGUUCAUGCCCUGUGUGUCGGCAACAUGUGUAG